This 2222-nucleotide long non-coding RNA is filed under the name Olea europaea subsp. europaea. Lineage: Eukaryota; Viridiplantae; Streptophyta; Magnoliopsida; Lamiales; Oleaceae. The record is from RNAcentral.
GUCAACACACAACACAAGAUUUACCAGCAAAUGCAGGUGCACAAAAUGCCUAUAAAAUUCAAGUGCAAUUACAUUGCUCCAGAUAAAAUCAUAUCCUAUCUUCUAAAUAGUCGAAAAACCAAAAUACUACAAAAUAAAGUCUGACAUUUAUUAGAGAGAUUUGGUUUCUUCUAAACAAUCAGAAAAGCAAAAUACUACAAAAUAAACUUCGACAUUUAUCAGAUAGAUUUGGCUGCUUCUGAACAAAAUACAAAACAAAAUAUAUCCACUUUUUUAUCCCCGCAGGUGCUUUUGCAGCUUCUAAUCUCCAAGUCCCUCUUGGCUUCCAUGAACUUAUGGUGCCUUUUGUUAUGUCCUUUUUCCCCCACAAACGGAACACGUCAUGUACACAACACCUUUUUUCUUACUUGUGAUUGUGAAUGUAUUUGUGAUUGGGAUUGUCCAUCUUCAUCGGGUUCUUUUCUUUUCUUUUUAUGUUUUCUUCUUAUGAAGCAACAUACCAGGGAGAAGGCAAAACAGGAGGAUGUGCACAUUUUAGGCCAUAACUCCUAACUAUUGAUGGGAUAUAUGACAUUCUCGUACUUGCUCAUGUAGGUCUCGACCUUGUACCAAUUGGAGACAUAGUCUUUUAUCUCAUGACCUAUAUCUAAAAUGCAAGCAAUGACAUGUGGACAUGGAAUGCCAGAAAUCAGCCAUCCCCUACAUGCACACGUUCUAUUUUCCAUGCCCACAACAACUGCUCCAUACUAACACUCAACUUGAUAUUGGUUUAGCCCGUUCCAUCUCAAGAUACACUCAUGGGCUGCAUCACAGCAUUUCCCCAACUUCUUUUGUAUUUUGGGACAUAUGGGUUUUGGUAACUUCUAAACUUGUCCCUCUUCACCUGAAUUCUGUGCAUGAGUUUCAUCUGAAUGCCUACCAACAUAUCUAUAAAAGAUUUAUCCCUUUUUCCAAAAUGAAGUUCUUGAAGCAUUCACAGAGGUUAUUAAUGAGCAUUUCACACUUCGAUUGAUCUGAAAAAUGAGACCUACUCCAUUCGUUUGGUGACUUCUUCAUCAACCAUCCAUGUGCCUCCUUCUUGGCACUUUCAAUCUUAGCCAUCCAAUAUUUAAAUGAUGCUAAGUGACUGGAUUUUGCUCCAUCGACAAAUAGUCUUUCAAUUCCUUACCCUUAAAGUCACUCCUGAAGAAAUUCUGAUGCAUAUGCCUAACACAAAUAUAUGUUCAGCUUCUGAAAAUAAUUCAGACAACAACAUCAAAAACCACCUCCACCAACUAGUGUUAUUUCUCUCUCUACAAUUACAUAUGCAAUCGGGUAAAUACAAUCAUUCGCAUCUAUGCCAACAACUGCUAGUAGUUGACCACCAAAUUUCCCUUUUAGAAAACAUCUGUCAACACUGACAAAGCGUCCACACAUGCCUCUAUACAGACAUAAAUACCCCUGAAAACAUUAUCUACUUGAGAGAUAAGCAUAGUUGAAUAUGGAUUUGUUCUCCUCAAUUCUGUUGCAUAGCACCCUAACAUCGCAAACUGUUCCUUCACUUUCCUCUACUAAUGCUUUGGCAUAUUUUCUAGCAUUCGAAUCCACCCUCUUAUGAUGUGCACUCCUAAAUCCUUUCUAACUAUAGCUCUGAUAUUUUUUAUCUUCCACUCAGGUUUGGAUGUGAAGUUAUCCAAAUAGUAGUUGGCCAACCAUUUAUAGGUUAGGUACUUAUUAGUACGUGCCUUACAGCAAGUGUGCCUGGGGUUGUACAUUUUGAUCUGGACCAUGUCUCAACCUUGUAUCUUCGAAGCUCACAACUUCCAUGGACAAUCAUCCUUGCAAACACAAUGCCAUCUAUUUUUCUCGUUGCGUUUGAAAACUGGUUCAACUUGAUUGAAGACCGCAUAAUCCCUCACCACAGAUUUUAAUUCCUCAAAAUUCACAAACAAUAACCCCAUCUCAAGUUGAGGAUUCCUCUUUACACUACCAACAAAAUAUUUUGGAAAAUUGGGUCUACCACUAUUCCCCUCCGAAUCUGAACCACUUAAGAAGUUUAACUCCUCUGACGAUGCAUACAAAGAGCUAUCUAAUUCUUGGCGUUCUUCAUGUUCCACAAUAUGCAUACCUAUUUCAAUGCCUUCGGUCACAUUACGAUCAAAUAGGCAAUCGUCAUCACGUAUACAUCAUAGUCCAAGUAAUUGAAAUCGGGAUCUUCAUCUGCAAUCAUAAAAACAAAUAUA